Molecule: ribosomal RNA, 875 nt
Filed under: Aspergillus transmontanensis
Lineage: Eukaryota; Fungi; Ascomycota; Eurotiomycetes; Eurotiales; Aspergillaceae
Description: LSU rRNA
Rfam family: Eukaryotic large subunit ribosomal RNA
Source: RNAcentral
UUGCCUCAGUAACGGCGAGUGAAGCGGCAAGAGCUCAAAUUUGAAAGCUGGCUCCUUCGGGGUCCGCAUUGUAAUUUGCAGAGGAUGCUUCGGGUGCGGCCCCUGUCUAAGUGCCCUGGAACGGGCCGUCAGAGAGGGUGAGAAUCCCGUCUGGGAUGGGGUGUCCGCGCCCGUGUGAAGCUCCUUCGACGAGUCGAGUUGUUUGGGAAUGCAGCUCUAAAUGGGUGGUAAAUUUCAUCUAAAGCUAAAUACUGGCCGGAGACCGAUAGCGCACAAGUAGAGUGAUCGAAAGAUGAAAAGCACUUUGAAAAGAGAGUUAAAAAGCACGUGAAAUUGUUGAAAGGGAAGCGCUUGCGACCAGACUCGCCUCCAGGGUUCAGCCGGCAUUCGUGCCGGUGUACUUCCCUGGGGGCGGGCCAGCGUCGGUUUGGGCGGCCGGUCAAAGGCUCCCGGAAUGUAGUGCCCUCCGGGGCACCUUAUAGCCGGGAGUGCAAUGCGGCCAGCCUGGACCGAGGAACGCGCUUCGGCACGGACGCUGGCAUAAUGGUCGUAAACGACCCGUCUUGAAACACGGACCAAGGAGUCUAACAUCUACGCGAGUGUUCGGGUGUCAAACCCGUACGCGCAGUGAAAGCGAACGGAGGUGGGAGCCCCCUCGUGGGGCGCACCAUCGACCGAUCCUGAAGUCUUCGGAUGGAUUUGAGUAAGAGCGUAAAUGUGGGGACCCGAAAGAUGGUGAACUAUGCCUGAAUAGGGCGAAGCCAGAGGAAACUCUGGUGGAGGCUCGCAGCGGUUCUGACGUGCAAAUCGAUCGUCAAAUUUGGGUAUAGGGGCGAAAGACUAAUCGAACCAUCUAGUAGCUGGUUCCUGCCGAU